This is a long non-coding RNA of Oxyura jamaicensis (ruddy duck), 1641 nucleotides long. RefSeq lists it as uncharacterized. The transcript is spliced from 3 exons. The record is from RefSeq and is a predicted model, not a curated record. NCBI's taxonomy places the organism in Eukaryota, Metazoa, Chordata, Aves, Anseriformes, Anatidae.
UCGCUCCACCCCGGCACGGGGGACCUAUCUGCUGGGAAAGGGUCGUGCUGACUCACUGGGUGGGAUUUGGUGCCUAAAUAUAGGUGUCCAGGGCCACCCGAGGUGUCCCGGAGUACCCCGCCUGCUCCCCAGCUGGAGCCUUGGGGCAGCAAGGUGCUGAAAAUAUGACAUGACAUCUCCCCGGUGAGAUCUUUCAAAAGGAAAAACAAGAGAUGUAAUAGAAAGCUUCAAAUAAAGUGGGAAAUGGCAAUAUCCUGUGGGAACGGGGGUGCAGGCAGCUUUCUGGCUUAUUCAGGUUUGGGUCUUUUUAUUUACAGUUUAUUUUUCUUUUUCUGAGACCUGCGAGGAUGAUAAAAGCUGCCUCAGUGUCUCAGAAGGGCUCGGGCCUCAUCCCAAACUAUGGACUACCCUAGAUGAUACCUGCACAGGGAAGUUGUGCCAGAUACCCGAGCCCAGCGACAGAGAUCAUUCCCAUGCAGAGACCACUCUGGGGACAUAACUGCUUUCUUCAUAUGUUUAUCCUUAACUCUUUACCAGUUUUUUUUCCAGGCUCUGGUCCUCAGGGUGCUGGUUGAACUUGUGCUCUUCUCCCUCCCGUGACACUGGAAAGCCAGACAGCUGCUUCAGGGCAUGAGCUGAAAACUGGUACCUGGAUGAAGUUUCUGAAUCACAGGAGACUGCUGGGAAAAUUGGCCUCCAAGGAGAAAAUGCACAUGUAGGAGCAGGGCUCAUCUGGAAGCUGGGAUGCUGCCAGAUUGGAUCCUACCACCAAAGGCUACUCCCACGGAAACUUCAGGAGCUGACCUAGAGAACAUGCACCAAGAGGUACUGCAGUCUUUUAUUCCAGUACAUCUCUUCUCUGCCCCAGCAACUCAGCGUACUAUUUUUGUACUAGCCGUCCUGCUGCCAGUACCCAUCAGAGCUGCUUGCAGCUGGUGCUGCCGCCAAUAGGGACACACAGGGGAGUGAAAGUCACUGGGACACCAGGUCCCACCUGGUUCUCGGGGACCCCUGAGGAGCCAGAGGCAGGGUCUGACCUGCAGCAGAGAUGAGCAACACUUCCAGAGCCCCAGACACCAACACAGAGGUGCAGAUAUAAAAGGAGAGGCUGAGAAAAUCACCCUGGUACUGACAGGCUGACAAUGGUCCAUCACCUCCUCAGCACUCUGGUGGUGAGCCCAUGCUUUCCUUGCUUUCUCCCCAUGGUUUGUGUCCUCCCACGAUGUCAGUUGGUGUCAGGUAUGCCUUGGCCUCUUUCCUGCGACCUUCCUAUGGGACUAUUAAGGAAAACAGAUAAUUUUUUUUCUAUUUACCAGUGGCCGACUCACAUCAAUAAAUGAUCCUUGCCACGACUUGCAAGUAAAUUUGCUCUCUCCUCCUGAGACCUUUUCCCGUGCAUAUCUGAAGCAUGUCUUAUUUACCUUAACCUCUUGCGCGAUAAUUCUUUCACGCUUUGCCUUUGCUUUUGUGUGUGUGUCUGUGCAUGCACACGUGCGUGUCCUUCUCGCCAUCCUUCCCCUCUGCCCCGCAGCAUCUCCCUCCCUUCUCUGACGUGCUACCCUUCGUGUAGGCCUCUUCCUUAUCCUUGAUUACCUUCUGCACUCCCGUACCCAUCUGCGGUGCCCCAGAUUAACUCCUGAA